AACAUAAAAAAAAAAAAAAAAAAAAGGAAUGGAUAAAUUAUUAUUAUUUUUUUUAUCGUGGCGAAACCGGUUGCCAUAUAGUAUACCUUCGGAUUGUAAAGUUUUGAUAGCUUUUCAAGCACUUUUCUAGAAAUGUUGAAAGAUUACAUAGUGAAGCAAAGCAUAUUUACUGAGAGGAAAAACAAGAUCAACUUAAUGGUUAUACAAAAAGAAUAUUGCCUGGAUGAGCAAGUCUACUGUAUCUGCUGUAGCUCAGACGGACCCAUGGACCCACUACUGUGGUGAAUGCAUUCCUUUUUAUUAUGUGUCUUGUAUUAAAUUUUGUCUUUGACAGUAACGUAAGAAGAGGAAAUUGUUGGAAAACCCAUCUUGAAUGAAGCCAAAUAUUCCUAUGUUAAUGUUUGAGAGCCCAGCCUGUGAAAUAAUAAUACCCCCUGUUCUAGCUAGAAAAGGCAAGAAGAAGACAUUGUUCCUUUGCUAUAUCUGGGGACCACCAUAACAGCACAUCACAGCACCAGAAUACAGAAGAGUCCUGUUUUGUACUUUUGACAUAUUGCUUCAAUGGAGUUAGUACGGGAAAACAACACUGACAGGCCAUAGUUAAAAGCUUCUCAAGAUUCUAUGUUUUUACCUCCGUCGCCUUGUCCGUCGCCUUGUCCGUCGUCUUGUCCGUCGCCUUGCCCAUCGCCUUGCCCGUCGUCUCGUUUGUCGCCUUGCCCGUCGUCUUUUCCGCCGCCCAGCCUUUGCUACGCCCGUCACCCCGCCCUGUCUCGUGACCGCCCUGCCUUCAGUUCGCCCGUUGCCCCGUCUUCGCCUCGUGGUCGCCCCAUCACCGCCUCGUAUUUGUGGUAUCGUUGUAUUUUUUAAUGUGUAAUUGUGUAGUAUUAAUUAACCCGUUGGCUGCCACCCACUUUUGAUCCCCUUUUUUUUAAAGCUUGUUAGGGUCCGGCAGCGCUGUUCUGCCCAAUGGUCUAUAUGCCAUGGGUGGGACAGUUGCACAAGCCGUGUGGCUCAAAGUCGAUCGUCGAGGCAAUGCACCAGUAGGGACUUCCCCCUUGUCGAUGUGGUGGUGGUUGCCUGGGGUGUGCAUUCCCAUAACGGCUUCCAUCAUCAUAUCAGCCCGGACUUGUUUUCGGAUAAGUCCCUCUUGGUCGCUAUCCUUUCGAUAGUGAUGUAGCUAGUGUAGAUUUAGUGGCGUGGCAGCCAACGGGUUAGUUUUAUUUAUGUAUGUUUUGUAUUGUGUUGUAUUGUAAAAUCUAAAAAUUUUGUGGUGGAUUUGUGGGUGGAUGGAGGGACAAUAAAUACCUUAUUUUAUUUAUCAAUUUUGAAUGCAUUUUUCAUGUAGGAACUGGGUUGGGGAUCGAACCCUUGACCUCCGGAACCUUAAUCCAAUGCUUUGCCACUGUGCCAUCUUUAACGUGCUGAUAAUAGAAAUUUAUUCCUUAAUAACCUUGUUUGUUGUGCAUAAGUAGAUAUGCCAACAAAUGU
Molecule: long non-coding RNA, 1488 nt
Organism: Daphnia magna
Lineage: Eukaryota; Metazoa; Arthropoda; Branchiopoda; Diplostraca; Daphniidae
Exons: 5
Source: RefSeq, a predicted model, not a curated record